UACGUAGGGUGCGAGCGUUGUCCGGAAUUAUUGGGCGUAAAGAGCUCGUAGGCGGCUUGUCGCGUCGACCGUGAAACCUCACAGCUCAACUGUGAGCCUGCGGUCGAUACGGGCAGGCUAGAGUUCGGUAGGGGAGACUGGAAUUCCUGGUGUAGCGGUGAAAUGCGCAGAUAUCAGGAGGAACACCGGUGGCGAAGGCGGGUCUCUGGGCCGAUACUGACGCUGAGGAGCGAAAGCGUGGGGAGCGAACAGG
Molecule: ribosomal RNA, 253 nt
Filed under: uncultured bacterium
Lineage: Bacteria
Description: partial 16S ribosomal RNA
Rfam family: Bacterial small subunit ribosomal RNA
Source: RNAcentral